GCUUGCUGGAUACCCUGUUGAAUGCUUUUCAAGAAAGCUUCAAGAGCAAGUUAUGUUUCUGAAGGACUCUUUCAACUUCUGUAUUCACUUUUCUGAAAAAUUUCUACGAAGCAUUUUGUGUGCUAAGUGCUAACAAAAAAGAUUAGCUCAAAAACAGGUAGCUUGUUUCUUGAUUUCAUGGGGAAUCAGUAAUAUAAGCCUAUGCUAAUAGUUAAUAUACACUAAUAAAGAUGACAAUCUGAUGCAUGAUA
This 251-nucleotide unclassified non-coding RNA is filed under the name Hevea brasiliensis (rubber tree). Lineage: Eukaryota; Viridiplantae; Streptophyta; Magnoliopsida; Malpighiales; Euphorbiaceae. The record is from RNAcentral.